GAUUUUGUUUCAAUAAGGUCACUAAUGCCAAAACUUGUAGUGAAUUUAGCCCAAUUUUUUAUAUGUGAAUUGAGAGAUCAUAAACUAUUAUCAAUUGUUAGAACUAUAUUAGAAAAUUUUACUUGUUAUCAUGCCAAAAAUCUCAUUAAAAUUCUACCAAAAUCUAGUGAUAGCCCUUAUUAAAAGAGAAUUAAAGUUGAAUGAUUUUGCUUAUACAUAUUGAGGAUUAGUGACCCUGCUAAAAUAAUUGACAAGUUCAAUAACCAAAGGUAAAAUUAUGUCAACUGAAUGGUGAAACAUUUUGUCUGCAUAAUAUAUCAUAGCUCUAUAUUUUAGAACUCAUUCUUUCAUGCUUUCCUAAAGCUUCUUUAUCAUACAAGCAGGAAUCAGCUGCAAAUAUGAUAUCCACAUAGAUAUAUCAAGCAGAAGCCAUCUGGCCACUAUUCAAUUAGAUUGCAAAUUGAAGAUGAUGACAAAAAUAACAAAAUUAUGAUUCCCAUACUUCCAAAGAGUAGUGAGGAAAAAAAAAGGAUAAGAAACAUACAGCCCCAGCUGACCAGUGAAUAG
RNAcentral lists this unclassified non-coding RNA (567 nucleotides) under Hevea brasiliensis (rubber tree). Lineage: Eukaryota; Viridiplantae; Streptophyta; Magnoliopsida; Malpighiales; Euphorbiaceae. The record is from RNAcentral.